Molecule: long non-coding RNA, 850 nt
Organism: Musca domestica (house fly)
Lineage: Eukaryota; Metazoa; Arthropoda; Insecta; Diptera; Muscidae
Exons: 3
Source: RefSeq, a predicted model, not a curated record
UGGCAAUGAAAAUUCCAUUUAACUCAAUUUCACCAGUCCUAUACUAGAUAUAAGCCGGACUAGUACCAAAUGUGUCCCCAAGUAAUGCAAAGGUAACCAAUUGACACCUUUUCGUCCCCAAGUAAUGCAAAGAAGCGACAGUUGUGCAUAAAUAAAAACCACCACGAAAAAACCAAACGAACAUUUGAAUGAUAUCUCUACGAACAAGAACCACUUAUAGUUUUUUUUAGAUUACCAAUAAAAAAAACAAUGCACCGUUAUUCUUGAGGAAUGCAAGUGCGUUUUGUUUGGAAAAAACAUUCUUAUUCUGAUCGUUGUGAAGUGAAGUAUCAUUUUUCUGUGCAAAUAAGUUAUAAAGUGUUGAAAAUAACAAAUAAAAAGGUCAAAUCAAAAUUUUAGCUGAUGCUUUAGCUGAGUUGAAGAUGAUGGUGCUACGAUCUCAAAGUGAUGAGAUACCAUUAUCGAAUAGGUUCCCCAUCACUUAUGAAAAAUAUUGAGAAUCAAUACAUAUAUGUAAAGAUUAUAGCAUCAAUUAUAAAAGGAGAGGAAAUAUCGAAAUGUUUAAAAAUGUUAUCGGUUCAAAUAUUACUACGAGUAUAAUAUUGAGGGAAACCAUGGAAAAAAGUUUGAAGUCCCUAAGUAAUAUAUACAGCGUUAUUUUAGGUAAGGUGUAUAUAAACAUUAUUUUUAUAUUCUACAUUUUCAUACAUUAAACAUUAUUUUUUGCACAUUCAAUACCAGUUACAGAAUAUUCGGACACCCCUGAAACACAACUGCGAAAAGCAAUACAAGUGCUUUUAUAAAUAUUAAAUUUAAUUUAUUUUUGUUCAAGUUUUAUAGAGUAAGGUAU